GUACUACUCCAUCCGUCCGAAAAUACUUGUCAUCAAAAUGGACAAAAAGGGAUGUAUCUGAACUAAAAUACAUCUAGCCCUUUUUAUUAAUUUUGAUGACAAGUAUUUCCGGACGGAGGGAGUAUAUU
Triticum aestivum (bread wheat) is the source of this 128-nucleotide non-coding RNA. The record is from Rfam. NCBI's taxonomy places the organism in Eukaryota, Viridiplantae, Streptophyta, Magnoliopsida, Poales, Poaceae.